UUAAAUUGAAGAGUUUGAUCAUGGCUCAGAUUGAACGCUGGCGGCAGGCCUAACACAUGCAAGUCGAACGGUAACAGGAAACAGCUUGCUGUUUCGCUGACGAGUGGCGGACGGGUGAGUAAUGUCUGGGAAACUGCCUGAUGGAGGGGGAUAACUACUGGAAACGGUAGCUAAUACCGCAUAACGUCGCAAGACCAAAGAGGGGGAC
RNAcentral lists this ribosomal RNA (208 nucleotides) under Escherichia coli. Its description in RNAcentral is "partial 16S ribosomal RNA". It matches the Rfam family "Bacterial small subunit ribosomal RNA", at positions 1 to 214 of the family's 1533-position model. The record is from RNAcentral. Lineage: Bacteria; Pseudomonadati; Pseudomonadota; Gammaproteobacteria; Enterobacterales; Enterobacteriaceae.